CAAUGAGAACGCGCCCAAUGCCUCAACAAAGCCAAAACUCGGCCAGGAACCAGAGCACCUCAGCUACAGAGAGUUCUCAUGAAAAGCCCAGGCCCUCAAGACGAACCAGCAAACUCCGACCACACUGCACCUGUCGCCUGUUGGGCCACCGGCAGCCCUGCAUGAACUGUCCUUACAUGGAAGCUUACAGCCCAGCAAGGGUUUAGGUUGAAGGACUGCUUAACUGUGCUGGCAAGCCAGGCUUGCUGCCAUGACAAAUCACUCUUUAUUACUAGUGAUGUAUGGCUGUGUUAUCCACUUAUCUAUGCCACCGUUUGAAGUUUAAAUUGGUUUCUUUUUUUUUUGCUAGCUUUUUCUCUCUUCUCACCACUUACUCUCACAUUCCUCACACACUAACCCAGCUGUGCAUUAGGUCUCCCAUACCAUGCACGGCCAUAAUUCAAAUGCAAACCGAGCAACAAGACUAUCCAUGUAGGUGAUGAGCCUUAAAGCCAUACCUACUCUGUGUGUUACUUUAAUUUUGGCCUGCUGUUAGUAUAUACAAUGCAGAUAUCUCACCUAUGCACAAUUAAGACUAACAGCAGUUAAGACUAACAGAUAUUGAUACAAGCACUUAUAAUAAAAC
Molecule: non-coding RNA, 625 nt
Organism: Pelobates cultripes (western spadefoot toad)
Lineage: Eukaryota; Metazoa; Chordata; Amphibia; Anura; Pelobatidae
Source: the annotation of a GenBank genome assembly